CUUUUUCGAUAUUUCAGAUUUAUUAUUAAGAUUUGUUAUAAGAAACAGUAAUAUAAUUAAAAAUAAUUUUGGCUGAAAUAAUGACAUUUAUUAUAAUUAAGAAUGACGUAUUGAAUUGGCUAAUAUACGCGACUUAUGGAAUACCAAACAAAGGAAAAGUGGAAGUGCUGUUAACUUCUCCCAUUGAAAAAGAACGGAGCUAUGUCAAAAGGCAUGCGCGAAAUAUUGCGCAAAAGACAAUUUUAGCGUUCCCUCCCUUUUCCAUUCCCGUUCCGAAAAACUAUGAAAUGGCCUUAAAUCUGAUCUUUGGUGGCAUUCCGAUAAUUAUCUGGAGCUACAAAGUGCUCCACACAGGGUAAUUUUUUAUUUAAGAUCACACUGUGGAUACAAUACAGUCUAAAAUACCCGGCGUUGCCGAGAUUUUGUUUAUAAAUCACAUAGUAAAAAUAAUUAUUGAAAAAUAAUUGAUUGAUAACGAUAAUUUAGAGUUUAUUUCAUAAAUGAUUGAUCAUAAACAUACAAUAUAUCGUAUAUAUAAACAUAUAUACAAACAGUGCUAUCAUGACAUUGACCCG
Molecule: long non-coding RNA, 575 nt
Filed under: Androctonus crassicauda
Lineage: Eukaryota; Metazoa; Arthropoda; Arachnida; Scorpiones; Buthidae
Source: RNAcentral